This 218-nucleotide ribosomal RNA is filed under the name uncultured bacterium. RNAcentral's name for it is "partial 16S ribosomal RNA". It matches the Rfam family "Bacterial small subunit ribosomal RNA", at positions 28 to 222 of the family's 1533-position model. The record is from RNAcentral.
GACGAACGCUGGCGGCAUGCCUAAUACAUGCAAGUCGAACGAGCUUCCGUUGAAUGACGUGCUUGCACUGAUUUCAACAAUGAAGCGAGUGGCUAACUGGUGAGUAACACGGUGGGAAAUCUGCCCAGAAGCAGGGGAUAACACUUGGAAACAGGUGCUAAGUACCGUAUAACAACAAAAUCCGCAUGGAUUUUGUUUGAAAGGUGGCUUCGGCUAUC